UACGUAGGGUGCAAGCGUUGUCCGGAAUUAUUGGGCGUAAAGAGCUCGUAGGCGGUUUGUCGCGUCGAAUGUGAAAACCCGGGGCUCAACCCCGGGCCUGCAUUCGAUACGGGCAGACUAGAGUUCGGUAGGGGAGUCUGGAAUUCCUGGUGUAGCGGUGAAAUGCGCAGAUAUCAGGAGGAACACCGGUGGCGAAGGCGGUUCUCUGGGCCUUACCUGACACUGAGGAGCGAAAGCGUGGGGAGCGAACAGG
This 253-nucleotide ribosomal RNA is filed under the name uncultured bacterium. RNAcentral describes it as "partial 16S ribosomal RNA". It matches the Rfam family "Bacterial small subunit ribosomal RNA", at positions 524 to 776 of the family's 1533-position model. The record is from RNAcentral.